UCCUUGAUGGUCCAGUGGUUAGGACUAUGCACUUUCACUGCCAGGACCCAGGUUCAAUCCCUCGUCAGGGAA
Molecule: non-coding RNA, 72 nt
Organism: Dama dama (fallow deer)
Lineage: Eukaryota; Metazoa; Chordata; Mammalia; Artiodactyla; Cervidae
Source: the annotation of a RefSeq genome assembly